UUGUUUAUCUUUUCUCUCUUUGCCAAGUGCUUGGAUGGUCCAGUACUGGUGGUACAGUAAUCGAAAUCCUCUGCAAUGAUCUACUAGGUAUAACUAGUGGCGUUUGAUGAACAUAGCUUGAUGGCCUAGCAGCUGAUGUGGAACGAACUGAAGGAGUAGAGUCCACAAACUGUCUACCUAUCUAAUAAAAAUGAAAUAGUUUCCAUUAUCCCUCUAAAAUCUACCAAUAAAAAAAAAAAAAAAACCGAAUAAAUAUAUUGCCUAACAAUGAAGGAUAAUUUGAUUUGAUAGAGUGUAACCGUAUGCAUGUUUAUCAACAUUUAGAAAUGGUUCAAUUCAAUCGAAUAACAAUAGUAACUGUUUUCUCAAAAGUGCAAUUAAGAUGAAAUUUCUGAAUUGGCAAAAAAUUUCAAGAUUCAAAUUAACAACAAACUUAACGAAAAUUUAGAAAUCUACUUAAGUUGCACUCAAAAUGAACUUAAACAAGAUCAAAACUCUUUCUCCAAAUUAACUCAAAACCAAAUCCAAAAUUUCUCAAAUGCUGAAACAAUAGCUCUUUUAAUUUCUAAUGAACUUAUCAAACUCAAUCCAAAAUGAUCAAAUGAAAGAAAUUACCGCAGCAGUUGAUUGAGAUUUAGUACUAACACCAGAAGUAGUAUAUCGAAACCCUAAGUUGUGAGUAACUUCUUCAUCAUCUUCUUCUUCUCAGCUGUACAGUCAUUCAAUGCAUUGCCCCUUUACACUGAGCUGCCAUUUUUC
Molecule: long non-coding RNA, 759 nt
Filed under: Aquilegia coerulea
Lineage: Eukaryota; Viridiplantae; Streptophyta; Magnoliopsida; Ranunculales; Ranunculaceae
Description: long non-coding RNA (ACOE_LNC000143)
Source: RNAcentral